UCUUCAUAGAACCUACGGAAUGGGAAAGAACAUUUGCAAGCUAUGCAGAUGACAAAGUUGUAAUAUCUAGACUCUAUAAGGAACUUAACAAGCAAAAAACAAACAACCCCAUUAAAAAGUGGGCAAAGGACAUGGACUAAACUUUGAAUGCAUAUGGACACAAUGAAGGGAAAAACAGACACCAAGGCCUACUUGAAGGUCGGGGUUGGGAGGAGGGGGAGAAUCAAAAUACUACCUAUCGAGUACUAUGUUUAUUACUUGGGUGACAAAACUAUCUGUACACCAAACCCCUGUGACACACAAUUUAUUUAUAUGACAAACCUACACAUUUACCCGGGCAACAAAUCUAAUGGACAAAAAAGCAUAAGUGACAUCUCAAAUCUACAGAUGGUGUUCCUCUAGAAUCUUCAUAAAUCACUCAUUAUUUUGAAGUUUUAAUAUAGGAAGGUGGCUAUCAUACACUCAAAUGACUCCAUUAUAGAUUUUCUCUUUCUAGCUGCAAUAGCUCAUUCAAAAAUUACACAUGCCAACCAAUUUAGAAAACGUAUACAUAUUAUUCCUCUUAAAAUUACUAUAAAUAGAUAUAGCCUUUACUAUAACUAUAUAUCUGUACAUUUUAUACGGACAACUUAGGGAACUGCUAGGCUCAGGUAAAUUCAUCACGUGCAUGUUUAGAUGUUUAUU
Molecule: long non-coding RNA, 684 nt
Filed under: Homo sapiens (human)
Lineage: Eukaryota; Metazoa; Chordata; Mammalia; Primates; Hominidae
Description: non-protein coding lnc-RGS18-12:1
Source: RNAcentral